Rattus norvegicus (Norway rat) is the source of this 2207-nucleotide long non-coding RNA. RefSeq lists it as uncharacterized. The record is from RefSeq and is a predicted model, not a curated record. Lineage: Eukaryota; Metazoa; Chordata; Mammalia; Rodentia; Muridae.
AGUCCACCCUGGUCCAUCCCUCAGGUGAACGUUAUAAGAAGAUCACGUGGUCUUAGCGUUAGAGUGAGAGAACAGGAGAGCAAUGAGCCCCCAAGGCCAUAGUUGACACACAGGAAGAUGGGACUCCCACCCAUCCCAGCCUCGGUGCUUAUUCUUGGAACCGUUCGUUUCUGUGGGGCUUGCGAUAUCUGACUUAAAGCUGCCUGGGAAGUAUGUUUGGGGAAUUUCUUGCUGGAGAACACGGCACGGGGCUCAUCCAACUUCUGCAUGUGAAGCGCUCUGACACCCUCUUUAAGAGCCUCGCUCCAAGCUGCCACAUUGCUGCUACUAAUGGAAGAUUCACGUAGAGGAGGCUGGUGGGAAAUAUUAUCAGACAAGCUUUGAUGACGUACAAAGGUUGCAUCUGAGUCGGAGACCUGCACUCUUUCUGGUCCCUGCAAAGGCUUCCCACCCCACCCAGAAUUCCCUGUCACAUUCUGUGAUUAGAAUACGGACAUCCACCCACGAACUAAAAGCCAGGAAGUUUUGGCAAGAAAAAAAAUAAAGAAAUUCUAUUGGCUGGGCUGUCUCCCACUGUCCGUACAGGCGCCCGGCAGACGACACUUCCCAAGAUAAAACAAACGAUCACGCCACUGUAUUUAAUGGAAUUGGGAUGGUGGGUAGAUUUAGCGUCUUCAUCACUGACCUCCAUCAUGGCUCCCCAGACCUCGAUUCAGCCCUCUCACAGUUCACAAAUUCUAAAAGUCACCCUUGGUGCUUGAGCCAAAAGAGCAAGUGUAAGCGCGGAGCCUUUCACAUGUACCCGCGAGAGUCAGCACGCCUCGACCAACCCCGUCACUCAGGGGGCAGCCCACAUGGCAAAGCAAAAGGCCCGCACCCCCUGAGCAUCUCCUCGACUGCAUCCUGACACUCAGCAACCUGUUGUCGGCGCCGUCUUCUCGGCGUAAAGCUUCCCAAGCAAUAAAUCAGCUUCCUGCCUGGCUGUUCGGUACGGACUCAUCACUUCGCACAUCAUAAUUAUAAUCAAUGAACGAAACUCAAGGAAGAAAGUCUGAACAAUGAAACAGUACCUUUCUUCCCUCAACACCGCGCGACGUUGUGCGAUCAAAGAAGACAAUGGUGCAAAUGAGUGACUCGGAUGAUCUCAAGGGUUCACAGCGACGGAAAUAUAAUAUGUGUAUUUUCAGAUUAAUGAGUACAGUUCUCCAGUCUUGAGCAAUCAAAGACAAAUGGCACUCCUUGGAGGCAGAGGGCUGGACAAAAUGACCCCUGGCCUCCAUUACUUCGAGAUUCAAUUGUCGCAUGUCUUUAACAGCCACUUCAAAUUCCUUCGUAGGUGUAAAUCCGUUCUCUAAAUAUAAAUCCCAGACAUGAGUACAGAUUAAUUUAUUCCCUAAAUGUGUAGAAAGGUAGAUGAUCAAAGCGAUGAGUUUUGCAAAAAUCACCUUUAGUCUCACUAAUGACCUUAUCAUAUCACUCAAUGAAUAGGUGGAUUAUACUUCAUGUGGUUGGUGAGAACGAAGCCAUGUACGGAAGUCCAAAUCUUCAUCCCAUGUGUACUCUUGGCAUCAAGGCCUCAUUUGUUGAGGGCAGGCUCAGCUCUGGUUAUUUCGUUUUUGCCUGCUGAACUUGAUGCCAUUAACUUUCCUGGGGAAAGGUCAGGUCAUCUUCACUUGCGAUCUCAGAGUUCUCCCCUGUGGUCAGCUGGCCAUGUCGUCUGGGGAGUCAUAGAGGAGUCCACUGCUGUGAGAGCCACUCUCGAGUGUCAGAUUAACUGCCUCUGGAACCCGCUCGAGACCAAGACUCUGGGCACAGCUGUGAAGGAUGCUCUUAAAUCAGAUUAUCUGAAGCAAAAGACCCAUCCCAAAUCCAGCUCAUACCCUCUGCUGGCAGCCCACGUCGAAGGACAAUGGGAGAAGAAAAGUUUGCUUUUCAUCUGCUUCUUCUCGCUCUUGCUAGCCAGUCUGUUUAUUCCGUUGCUGCAGCCAAUACUAGAUCCAAUUUCUUCAGGAUUUCAGGGUAGAAUGAAGGCCAGCAGCUCUUCAGGAACCCUCCUGGGCUCUAGAAUAAGAUGUGGAAAGCUGAGACACCAGACCUGUGCACUGAGCAAGUACUGGAUAGUUUUUCUUUUCUGUUGUGGCACAACCAUUGUUGGCCUACCUGGGCGGUAUCCUGUCAGCCAGUCUAAUAAACGUAUUUUCAGUAUA